This is a small nuclear RNA of Chelonoidis abingdonii (Abingdon island giant tortoise), 140 nucleotides long. Its record names the gene U4. It matches the Rfam family "U4 spliceosomal RNA". Rfam says of the family: U4 small nuclear RNA (U4 snRNA) is a component of the major U2-dependent spliceosome. The structure of U4 snRNA from yeast and human has been reported. The record is from Ensembl. Lineage: Eukaryota; Metazoa; Chordata; Testudines; Testudinidae.
AGCUUUGCGCAGUGGCAGUAUAUAACCAAUGAAGUUAAUCUGAGGUGUGAUUAUUGCUAGUUGAAAAUUCUUUCCUCAAUUUGAACCUUAGAGUCCAAAAAUGAGGUACCAGCAUGAAUUCCUUUAAGCUUAAUUACCAG